GACGAACGCUGGCGGCGUGCCUAAGACAUGCAAGUCGAGCGGGGCUUCGGGGCUUCGGCCCUGAAGCCUAGCGGCGGACGGGUGAGUAACACGUGGAUAACCUGCCCUCUGCUCUGGGAUAACAGGCCGAAAGGCCUGCUAAUACCGGAUAAGCUCACGGUCCCGCAUGGGGCUGGGAGAAAAGGCGCUGGAGUCAGUGGCGCUGGCAGAGGAGGGGUCCGCGGCCCAUUAGCUGGUUGGCGGGGUAACGGCCCACCAAGGCGACGAUGGGUAGCCGGCCUGAGAGGGCGACCGGCCACACUGGGACUGAGACACGGCCCAGACUCCUACGGGAGGCAGCAGUCGGGAAUUUUGCACAAUGGGCGAAAGCCUGAUGCAGCAACGCCGCGUGAGCGAAGAAGGCCUUCGGGUUGUAAAGCUCUGUUGCCUGCGAAGAAGGGCCCCGUCAGGAAAUGGGCGGGGUUUGACGGUAGCAGGCGAGGAAGCCCCGGCAAACUACGUGCCAGCAGCCGCGGUAAUACGUAGGGGGCGAGCGUUGUCCGGAAUUACUGGGCGUAAAGGGCGUGUAGGCGGCCUGUUAAGUCAGGGGUGAAAGACCGGGGCUCAACCCCGGGGGUGCCUCUGAAACUGGCGGGCUUGAGUGCUCUAGAGGGCAGUGGAAUUCCCGGUGUAGCAGUGAAAUGCGUAGAGAUCGGGAGGAACACCAGUGGCGAAGGCGGCUGCCUGGGGAGUCACUGACGCUGAGGCGCGAAAGCUAGGGGAGCAAACAGGAUUAGAUACCCUGGUAGUCCUAGCCGUAAACGAUGAGUGCUAUGUGUGAGGGGUAUCGACCCCCCUCGUGCAGGAGCUAACGCACUAAGCACUCCGCCUGGGGAGUACGGCCGCAAGGUUGA
RNAcentral lists this ribosomal RNA (893 nucleotides) under uncultured Bacillota bacterium. Its description in RNAcentral is "bacterial SSU rRNA". It matches the Rfam family "Bacterial small subunit ribosomal RNA", at positions 28 to 897 of the family's 1533-position model. The record is from RNAcentral. Lineage: Bacteria; Bacillati; Bacillota.